AGCUCUGUGGUGAGACCACAUUAGGUUGCAAACCUAAAGACGCAAACUCACAGUUUGCCCGGGCUU
RNAcentral lists this transfer RNA (66 nucleotides) under Barilius barila (barred baril). Its description in RNAcentral is "tRNA-Cys". Lineage: Eukaryota; Metazoa; Chordata; Actinopteri; Cypriniformes; Danionidae. The record is from RNAcentral.